GACGAACGCUGGCGGCGUGCUUAAAACAUGCAAGUCGAACGGACUUCUCGUGAAGCUUGCGAUUGAGAAGUUAGUGGCGGACGGGUGAGUAACGCGUGGGCAACCUGCCCCUGAGCCCGGGAUAACAGUUCGAAAGGACUGCUAAGACCGGAUAUACUUGCGGUGAAGCAUUUCACUGCAAGGAAAGGGAACGCUCAGGGAUGGGCCCGCGUCCCAUUAGCUAGUUGGUGAGGUAACGGCCCACCAAGGCGACGAUGGGUAGCCGGCCUGAGAGGGUGAACGGCCACACUGGGACUGAGACACGGCCCAGACUCCUACGGGAGGCAGCAGUUGGGAAUCUUCGGCAAUGGGCGCAAGCCUGACCGAGCAACGCCGCGUGAGUGAUGAAGGUUUUCGGAUUGUAAAGCUCUGUCUUCCGGGACGAUAAUGACGGUACCGGAGGAGGAAGCCACGGCUAACUACGUG
Molecule: ribosomal RNA, 465 nt
Filed under: uncultured bacterium
Lineage: Bacteria
Description: bacterial SSU rRNA
Rfam family: Bacterial small subunit ribosomal RNA
Source: RNAcentral